CCUACGGGGGGCAGCAGUGGGGAAUAUUGCACAAUGGGGGGAACCCUGAUGCAGCGACGCCGCGUGAGUGAAGAAGUAUUUCGGGAUGUAAAGCUCUAUCAGCAGGGACGAAAAUGACGGUACAUGACUAAGAAGCCCCGGCUAACUACGUGCCAGCCGCCGCGGUAAUACGUAGGGGGCAAGCGUUAUCCGGAUUUACUGGUGGUAACGGGAGCGUAGACGGCAGAGCAAGUCUGAAGUGAAAGCCCGCGGCCCAACUGCGGGACUGCUUUGGAAACUGCCCGGCUAGAGAGCUGGAGAGGUAAGCGGAAUGCCUAGUGUAGCGGUGAAAUGCGUAGAGAGUAGGAGGAACACCAGUGGCGAAGGCAGCUUACUGGACAGUAACUGACGUUGAGGCUCGAAAGCGUGGGGAGCAAACAGGAUUAGAUACCCGAGUAGUC
This 440-nucleotide ribosomal RNA is filed under the name uncultured bacterium. RNAcentral describes it as "partial 16S ribosomal RNA". It matches the Rfam family "Bacterial small subunit ribosomal RNA", at positions 338 to 795 of the family's 1533-position model. The record is from RNAcentral.